UCCCAUGUUUCAAUAUUUUUA
RNAcentral lists this non-coding RNA (21 nucleotides) under Caenorhabditis elegans. The record is from RNAcentral. Lineage: Eukaryota; Metazoa; Nematoda; Chromadorea; Rhabditida; Rhabditidae.